Molecule: long non-coding RNA, 4026 nt
Organism: Felis catus (domestic cat)
Lineage: Eukaryota; Metazoa; Chordata; Mammalia; Carnivora; Felidae
Exons: 6
Source: RefSeq, a predicted model, not a curated record
UGCCGGAAACUUCUUAGUAAAGUUAUCCUGAGACCUAACCUUUCCAAGAAGCUGAAGAGCAUAUUAUAAGCCUUAUUACAGGAGAGCUGCUGAACCCUUGAAUGAACCCUGAAAUAGGACAUGGAAUCAGAAGAUGACUCCUGUUUCUUUGGAAAGAAGAACCUGGGUCUACUAGUUCCGUGUUCUUGAUGAAGGUGGUUCUCCUCUCUUCUUGGUCAGCCCACCUCUUCAGAAACCCAGAGAGAUUUCUGAGGUCCACAUGUUUGCCACUUCCAACUGCAAUAAUGAACUCAUGGCUAACGUUUAUUGAGCAUCUACUAUUCUCCAGGCAAGAUUCUACAUGGAUUGUUUUGUUGAAUCCUCACAUCAACCCUACUAUUGCCUCCCCUUUACAGAUGUGGAAACUGAGGCCUGGAGGGAGUAAGUUUUUCCCAAGGUCACAUGCAUGCUGAAUAAAUCCAGGUUGUCAGAUUCAAAAGUCCAGUGCCUAACACCCAAAUAAAUGCGGGGGGGGGGGUGGGGGAAGGGUACAGACCUUCUCCUCCUGGAUACAGAGUAGCUACUCAGUAAAAGUGUUACUUGGAUUUUAUUCCAAGUACCCAGCAUCCAUCCCCUCUCCUACCUCCCCUCCAUCUCCUUCCUGCCCACCAUGAACACCCUGGCACCAAGGCACUGCCUGGCCCUCUCUUCCACUUCCAGAAGCAGCCCUCAGGCCGCCAUUUUGUGACUUAUUUUUCCUCUGAAUGCUCUCCUGAUGUUCACUGUAACCUGACCUCACAGAACAGUAAUACUGAGGAGGGGAGGCAGGGCCCCCUGCCCCACCUGUCCUGACCCUUGGGCACCUGGAGAGCCCCCGGGCCUGUGCCUCCCAGGGGCCUGUGCCUCCCAGGGGCCUGUGCCUCCCAGGGCUGGCUGCCGCACCACACCACUUGAAGGUAGCCACUUGAAGGGAUGCACCUGAAAGGCACAUUUUAUUUGCUUCCUGACACCCAUCUCUGACUCCAGCUGUGCUGCCCCAAACUCCUCACUUUCCCACCUCCUCUCUCCCUAAUUCCUGCCCUCCUCUUCCUUUCCUCCCCCUCAGACCCUUUCCCACCCUCUUUUGCUGGCUUCUGUUCUCUUUCUUUCCAUGAGCAGAGAGUUUCCAGCUUGGCUCCUGGCCAGCACAUUUGGACAAAAGGCAGCAAUCUUAGAGGAAGACGUCAUCUCGCACCCCCUUUCCCGGGGCCGGCACCGUGGCUCCCGAGCCCAGAGAGGGAGAAGGGGGCCCAGGCCUCUCUGCCACAGCUCCCCGUUCGGGGAAAGGCCCUGAGAGAUGGCGUUAAAAGCAAAGAGUUUGCAAAUAGACCCAGGCUCAAAUUCCCAUUCUGUCACUUGAGGCUGUGGGACCUUGGACAAGUUACUUUGCAAAGAUUUAGCCCUCUCCUCUGUAAAACUGUGAUAAUUGUAGCACCUAUUUUGAAAGACUGCAAGUAAGGAUUAAAUGAGAAUGCACCUGUAAAGCAUUCAGCACAGCACAUGUCCUGUAAAAAGUGCUCCACACGUCCCUUCUGUAAUAAAGCGAGCUUAACUCUGCCAAAUAAUACAAACAGGAGUAAUAACACAGGAGCUUGAGUCGAUGAUAAUAAUACCUCCUCAACUCAUCUGCAGGGCUACUGACCCAGCCUCAGUUGUCUGCAAGUGUGGUAAAGCUGCAAAACCCUCCCAAGCACGGAGUUGCUGUUACAAUGUAAUCUGUGUGAGUUGGUUUUGACAUUGGAAGGGGAGCUGACCCCUUUUCCUUUUCAGUAGGAACAAGGACGUGCUCAGGCUCAGCUUCAGAGCUAGAUGUGAAAGUAGGAGGAGCCCACUGAGAUCAGCACAGCCGGCUCAUCCUGACUCCCCUCCCCCUCCGUUUUCUGGCUCCCUGAACUCCGAGGCCCUGGCUCUGUUUGUUUACUAUCUGUCUCUGGUGUUUGGGACUUGCAAGUUGUGCAAUGCCUGGGAACGUGUUCAUUUUUACUUAGCUAGGUUUUGAGAAAGGGAAAUGGUCUUUCCCCUAUGACUUUAUUUAGCUCAUCUGGGCCAGCACGGAGAGAUUUGAAUUUAAUCAGUAAGAUGAAUCAAAGAGCGUGAGGUGCUGGGUGGUGGGGGGAUGCUGGGAAAUACACAAGUAUAUGGGAUGGUCCCUGCCUCUUAGCGGGAGGAAUAACAGCUAUAAACCCAAACAACCGAAUGGCAGUAAAAGACUGCAGUUGUUCACGAUCAAACGACAAGAUUAGUCCAGGGAAUGACUGACAUACGGUUCACGAGUUUAAGGACUAAAUUUGAACUACAGUGGUGGAUGUUACCAAACAAAUGCAAACUGGAGGAACGCAGAGGUGGGCAAUGGAAGUCGGAAUGGCCACAGACUGCCUCAAAGAAGAGGUCGGACCUGGUGGCCCUUAAGAGGAGACUGGGUUCCAACAGCUGGGAAAGGAGAAGGUUGCAGGAGGUUGGCAGCUUGAACCUGGAGCCUGAACCAAAGAAGCUGUCUCUUUGACUCCCUCCCCAACUCCCUCCUCUCUGCCCCAGGCCCGGGAUCCGGGCUAUCCAGGGUUCAGGGGAAAGGAGAGCCUCUGUGCCCCUCCCUCGGCACUGCUGAGACCUCUAAGUCUCCAUGUUCUGGGAGGCAUUAGGGGGUUAAUUUUCUCUGACAUUUUUUCACCCCAUUAGAUGCACCAGUUCAGCUGGAGGGUAAACAGAGAGCACUGGUCUCUUUUUGAUGUCCUGGGAGCUUGUGUGUGUUUGUUGUGUUUGUUGCCUGUCACCAACACAGAUGGUGAAAUGGGCCAGAUGUAAAGGACGACAGCGGCCACAAGAUGCCGGGGAGCUUUGCUGGGGGUUGGAUGACCACACACUUCAUCCCACAUCUGAACCACUCUCACCCGCAAGUCAGAGUAUUAAGCAGAGAACGCCCCUGCGCCCCCAGAGAGCUGGAGACGUUUUCUGGCAGAGAAGCCCAGAGCACCGGCAAGCUGCUUCGAGAAGUUCCUCUGUGUCUUCCCAGUCUCCACCCUGGGCGAGUCUGUGGCUGAGAAGCUGGCCUGCUCCAGCUGUAGGGGAGGCAAGUUCUAAACCUCAGGUGUCCCCGUCACCCCUGCCCAGUGAUCAGAUCAGUGCUCUGUGGCUUCUCCCCCAACUAACAUCUCCCCUGACCACUCAAGGCUGAGCAUCAGGAUCUCAUUUUUAAAUUAUACGUCACUGGUCACAAAUAUAUUCAAUAUCCAUUUGGCUUUGAAAUCUAUUUUAAUCUAGCAAUUGCACUUCUGGGAAUUUAUCUUACAGAACUAUUGGAACAAGUGACCCAGAGUGCUUGUAGUGGCUAAACUCAGAAGCAACCAAUGGCUCAAAAACAGUAUGCUUUUUAGGAAAACAAAACUACCAAAGGAAAUGCAUCUGAUACUGUGUUUGAACUGGUCUGACAAGCCCUCCUGAUAAGACGCACAGCCCAAGGAAGGCCUGGAUACCAUGGAAAAAAUGGUCACUGUCAGGACUUCCUGUCCUGAUCCCACUCCAGCUCGAUCCUACUCUCAUUUCCUUCUGAAGGGGAGCCGUGGGACCGCUUUGUUCCCCACUGUUGAGGGAAGCAAACCUCUUCCCUGAGCUUGCCAUGAAGAUGACUCACCCCGUCCUCCCUUCAGGCCAGGGAGAAGAAAAAGAUAGCAGUUUUUGGCAACUCAGCCUGUUAGAAAAGGGGGUCUAGGGCUCACCCCUCUUCCAGUCAACUGCAGGCCAAGGAUGGAUGCAUCUAAGAGAAGCCAAAGACAAGGCAAUUCUGGACUGCAGCUGGCAAAGGGCUUAACUCUGGGCAAGCUGGGAGUCGACAGGAUACAUUUUUGCCCAGAUCAGACAAUGAUCUUGACACAAGGGUAAAAGAUGGUCUGACUCUGGCUUCCCAACAUAUUCUGUCUUUGGAUAUCAAAUGUAGAAAACUGAGCUACUCACUCACCUCAGUUCCAGACACUGAUUUUUCUCCUAUAAUUAAAGGGGUACAUGUGUCUGUCA